CGGGGGGGCGCGCUCUCCUCCCGUUCCUCUCCGCCGGGAUCGCGGUAUCCUAGGGGAGGGAGGAACUGCGCGCGGUCGGAGGGAGUGGAUAAAAAAGACAGGGCGAAAACUCAUUUUUCCUUCUUGACUUUGUUUCCUUGUUUCUAUCCUAAACUCGCAGUCUCCAUAUUUCCCAUCACACGCUCCACGGUGAUUUAUAUAGUCAUAAACAGCAUUCUUGCGACUGUAGCUCCUCUCAUAGCUUGAGGUGAGCUCCUUUUUCACUUUCCUGGCAGCCACUACUUUAAAUCAGGCCUCAUAAAUAACCCCAUGGGCUUACUCAGGAUGAGGUCAGUCAAACAUCUCCCCGGGUCUACUUUCCCGGCUUGGGUCCCGCCAUGCCCCUCCCCUGGGUCACAUGCCGGCGCACUCCCACUGUCUUUCCUUCAGGUUUCCAGAGCUCAAUCACCGACACCAGUUGGGAGACUGGGUAAU
This 474-nucleotide long non-coding RNA is filed under the name Homo sapiens (human). RNAcentral describes it as "HSALNT0107089". The record is from RNAcentral. Lineage: Eukaryota; Metazoa; Chordata; Mammalia; Primates; Hominidae.